UCACUGGGCUUUGUUUAUCUCA
This is a non-coding RNA of Drosophila melanogaster (fruit fly), 22 nucleotides long. NCBI's taxonomy places the organism in Eukaryota, Metazoa, Arthropoda, Insecta, Diptera, Drosophilidae. The record is from Ensembl.